GGUUUUAACCCUAUUACCAAGGUAAUUUGGAGUUCCGACCAUUCGAAAGAAAGUGUUGAACAACUGUAACUUUUAGAACCGCUCUCCCGGGGUAUCCGGUUGGGCAAA
Molecule: small RNA, 108 nt
Filed under: Caenorhabditis brenneri
Lineage: Eukaryota; Metazoa; Nematoda; Chromadorea; Rhabditida; Rhabditidae
Description: snRNA CBN33735
Rfam family: SL2 RNA
About the family: This family represents SL2 RNA. SL2 RNA is involved in trans splicing in lower eukaryotes.
Source: Rfam by way of RNAcentral